UGAGUGCGAGCUGCUACGGCAGCGAAGUUGGUGAUGUCAUGCUUCCAAGAAAAGCCCUAUACCCGUUAAGGCAUCAUGGCCUGUACCCGAAACCGACACAGGUGGGGUGGUAGAGAAUACCGAGGGGCGCGAGGUAACUCUCUCUAAGGAACUCGGCAAAAUGGCCCCGUAACUUCGGGAGAAGGGGUGCCACCGCAAGGUGGUCGCAGUGAAGAGGCCCAGGCGACUGUUUACCAAAAACACAGGUCUCCGCUAAGUCGCAAGACGAUGUAUGGGGGCUGACGCCUGCCCAGUGCCGGAAGGUUAAGGAAGCUGGUCAGCGCAAGCGAAGCUAGCGACUGAAGCCCCGGUGAACGGCGGCCGUAACAAUAACGGUCCUAAGGUAGCGAAAUUCCUUGUCGGGUAAGUUCCGACCCGCACGAAAGGCGUAACGAUCUGGGCGCUGUCUCGGAGAGAGGCUCGGCGAAAUAGAAUUGUCUGUGAAGAUGCGGACUACGUGCACCCGGACAGAAAGACCCUAUGAAGCUUUACUGUAGCUUGGUAUUGUGCCCGGGCUCGCAAUGCGCAGGAUAGGUGGGAGGCUUUGAUCAUCGGCUUGCGGGUCGAUGUGAGCCAACGGUGAGAUACCACUCUUUGCGAGCUAGGGUUCUAACGGCCACCCGUCAUCCGGGGGCCGGACAGUACCUGGUGGGCAGUUUGACUGGGGCGGUCGCCUCCUAAAAGGUAACGGAGGCGCGCAAAGGCUUGCUCAGGCUGGUUGGAAAUCAGCCGACGAGUGUAAAAGCAGAAGCAAGCUUGACUGUGAGACCAACAAGUCGAACAGGGAGGAAACUCGGCUUUAGUGAUCCGACGGUUCUGAGUGGAAGGGCCGUCGCUCAACGGAUAAAAGUUACUCUAGGAUAACAGGCUGAUCUCCCCAAGAGUUCACAUCGACGGGGAGGUUUGGCACCUCGAUGUCGGCUCAUCGCAACCUGGGGCUGAAGUCGGUCCCAAGGGUUGGGCUGUUCGCCCAUUAAAGCGGUACGCGAGCUGGGUUCAGAACGUCGUGAGACAGUUCGGUCCAUAUCCGGUGCACGCGCAGGAAUAUUGAGAGGAUUUCUCCCUAGUACGAGAGGACCGGGAGGAACGCACCUCUGGUGUACCAGUUAUCGUGCCAACGGUAAACGCUGGGUAGCCAUGUGCGGAGUGGAUAACCGCUGAAAGCAUCUAAGUGGGAAGCCCACCUCAAGAUGAGUAUUCCCAUGGCGUAAGCCAGUAAGGUCACGGGAAGAACACCCGUUGAUAGGCUCUAUGUGGAAGCGCAGUAAUGCGUGAAGCAGAGGAGUACUAAUAGACCGAGGGCUUGA
RNAcentral lists this ribosomal RNA (1346 nucleotides) under metagenome. Its description in RNAcentral is "bacterial LSU rRNA". It matches the Rfam family "Bacterial large subunit ribosomal RNA", at positions 1564 to 2925 of the family's 2925-position model. The record is from RNAcentral.